Molecule: long non-coding RNA, 1544 nt
Organism: Equus caballus (horse)
Lineage: Eukaryota; Metazoa; Chordata; Mammalia; Perissodactyla; Equidae
Source: RefSeq, a predicted model, not a curated record
UGUGUGUGGGAGAGGGGGUAGGUGCCCUUCUUCUUAAGUUAUAUAAUUAACAAAAGUGCUAGUGGUAGGAGAACUCCAGAAAAGUUUAUGCCUUUAGGAAUACUUUUUAAAUUUCUUAAUGUUUGAAAUUAAAAAUAACCGUUAUAAACAUAGACUGCAAAGCAAACUCUUACUCCACCAAAAUGACCUCCUCUUACCCCCGUUGCUUUCUAUACAUGCCCAAAGAGGAUAAAGUAAUCUAAAGACUUCUCUAAAGUUUGGAAUACUAGAGGCCAAGAAAUUCUAAGAACAUUUAGAUAAAUCAAAUAUUCUCUUCCUUCAUCUCCCAGUGUGCAGUCUCUAGCGGCAUUACAAGCAGAACUUAAGUGAAAAUUUUCCAUGGGCCUUCUUUAUCCUUAUUCAGUUGUGGCGACCAGCAUCUUCAGAAACCAAUAAUUCUUGCAGAAGAACAAGCCAGGGAGGAUAAGUAUUAUUUUUUUCACAUCUAUGGGCAAAAGCAGCUUUCCAUAACAAAAAACAAUUCAAUCCUGUUGCCUUGAAUUGCCCUAGGUGGAAAUCAUAGGGUUUUUCGCCCCCAGGAGAAAUUUUUAGCCACUUGUCGAGUGCAAUAAACACAGAUUUUUUGUCCUUGCAUGUUUUUCCCAUGCCUCACUUGAGAAGCCUAAAGCUUAGAUAUUUCCAGGAAUGUUCUCCCCUCCCUCCAAAAACAAUGUUGCCCUGCCCCUUUCCCCUUUUAGCCGUGGAGACAUUACAGAUGAUUAAAUGAAGUUUAUAUGUGAUGGCAAGAGAUUAUAGUUACAGCCUUUUUGAACUUUCUUCUCCAGCACCCUCAGGUGGUAUGAGAAUAUCCAAGUGGCAACACUCUGAGGACCAAUAAUCAAAUCCAUCUUUUUCUUUGCUCCACCAUUUUGUCAAGCAGGAGAAGUCCAGGGUUAUGACGUAUGGGCUUCCACCACAUGUCGGCCGCAGGUUUCAGCAGUUGUGCCACAACGUGUUGCUCAUUCUUCAUCAGGCCAAAGAAAAUCCCACUGAGAAGCUCAAAGUCAAGGGAAGGGAAAUAUACUCCAUCUUUUGUAAAAGUAUCCUGCAAAGGUAUACAGCAGAGAGUGUGUAUAAUAGAGAACCGGAGAGACAAAGGUGAGCUUUUGCAAGAGAGAAGAAGUGAAUUAUAAAGGAUAAAAUGCAAGGUACAAUAUUAGAGGAGAUGCUGUAAGGAGAAAAGGACCAAGCCCCACAGCCCAAUUCUCCUAGGAAAUGAGGUUUGAUGCUUCUUCCCAAUGCAGAAUAGCAAAAGGAUCUGAUGCAAAUUUAAUAUGGAAUGUUUUAAAGUGUGGCCAAACAACUGGGUGAUAGUGAAAAGGCAUUGACUCCAUUGUGAAGAUUAAAUGAAUCCCUGACACUUGGAAGAUUCAGCUGAUAUUUUUUUCCUUCACAAUUGAGUUUCAAGUCUAUGAAGAUUAUUGAGUGAUUUGGUCAUUAGCUUUUUUCCCCUCGACUUUACUGUUAUUCUUUUUUCUUCUAAUUUUUUUUAUUACUUCUGAAUA